RNAcentral lists this ribosomal RNA (468 nucleotides) under uncultured bacterium. RNAcentral describes it as "partial 16S ribosomal RNA". It matches the Rfam family "Bacterial small subunit ribosomal RNA", at positions 28 to 507 of the family's 1533-position model. The record is from RNAcentral.
GACGAACGCUGGCGGCGUGCUUAACACAUGCAAGUCGAGCGGAAAGGCCCUGCUUUUGUGGGGUGCUCGAGUGGCGAACGGGUGAGUAACACGUGAGUAACCUGCCCUUGACUUUGGGAUAACUUCAGGAAACUGGGGCUAAUACCGGAUAGGAGCUCCUGCUGCAUGGUGGGGGUUGGAAAGUUUCGGCGGUUGGGGAUGGACUCGCGGCUCAUCAGCUUGUUGGUGGGGUAGUGGCUUACCAAGGCUUUGACGGGUAGCCGGCCUGAGAGGGUGACCGGCCACAUUGGGACUGAGAUACGGCCCAGACUCCUACGGGAGGCAGCAGUGGGGAAUAUUGCACAAUGGGCGGAAGCCUGAUGCAGCAACGCCGCGUGCGGGAUGACGGCCUUCGGGUUGUAAACCGCUUUCGCCUGUGACGAAGCGUGAGUGACGGUAAUGGGUAAAGAAGCACCGGCUAACUACGUG